Molecule: long non-coding RNA, 6370 nt
Organism: Symphalangus syndactylus (siamang)
Lineage: Eukaryota; Metazoa; Chordata; Mammalia; Primates; Hylobatidae
Source: RefSeq, a predicted model, not a curated record
AUUUGCUGGUUGUUUUUUUUUUUUUUUUUUUUUUUUUUUUUGAGACGGAGUCUCGCUCUGUUGCCCAGGCUGGAGUGCAAUGGUGCGAUCUUGGCUCACUGCAACCUCUGCCUCCCGGGUUCAAGUGAUUCUCCUGCCUCAGCCUCCUGAGUAGCUGGGAUUACAGGAGCAGGCCACCACACCUGGCUAAUUUUUGUAUUUUUAGUAGAGACGGGGUUUCACCAUGUUGGUCAGGCUAGUCUUGAACUUCUGACCUCGUGAUCUGCCUGCCUCCGCCUCACAAAAUGCUGGGAUUACAGGCAUGAGCCACCAUACCCAGCCUAUUUGCUGUUUGAAUGUAGGUGAAUGAGUGGGUCCAGCCCCAUUUAUUGAUUCCAAAGUUGAACCUUAUUUGUCUGACUCUUAUUUGAUCAGCUAUUCUGCUAUUUUAUGUAGGAAAUUUAGAUUCCAGGAACCCUGGUUAUCUCAAAGUUUUGAUGAGCACAACAGGCUUCUGCCAUCAGGUAAGUGUUCAUCUUACUUAACAAGAUUUUUUUUUUUUUUUUUUUGGUGGAUGUCCAAAAUAGAAGUUCUUGAGAACCCAGGUGAGAGGGUGCGUGUGGGUUUAGGCAACUGGUCAGCCCCCCAAAAUAAGAUCCAGUAAAGGCAUGACAGACAGAGGCUCUGGUGCAGGAAGUAGCUUAUUCCAAAUGUUAGGAGGAAACAAAAUAAGUGGCUGGAUUGUGAAUCUGUGUAAUUUAUCAGUGGAUACUACAGUUGGAUGAUAAGUAGAAAACCUCAGAGAGCUGAAUGAGAAAAGAAAUGGUUCUGGUGAGGAAGGCCUAACUCAGAGAAGAUGGAAGAUUUUAUUCUGGGAGGAAGAAUAGACUUAGUAACAUGCAAUGGACUUUACCAGCUCAGAAACCCUCCGGAGUUCUGAGUCAACUGCUUAUUAAUACCGUGUUAUGCAAUGACUUAAGGAUGCACAACGUAAACUUUCCAGAAAAGCAAAAACCACAAAAGUGGGCAGAACCUUAAUUUCUCCUUUGUUUGCUGAUUAGUGGAGGCUCACGUGAUUUCUUUUAAGGCGGGUACAGCCCCUCCACUGGCGUCCAAGAAACGGAAAUCUCCCAAUGUUAGUAAUCCCGUCAGAAGUUUCGGUUUUCUUGGAAAACAUGCCCGGUGGCCUACCUGGGGCCUCCAGGCCACACACCUCCAUUCUAUGAAGCUGUCUCUCUCAGGAUGCAUGGGUGACAAUGUAUUCAGAUGGAUGCUUUGAAUCCAGGGCCCCAACCCCCAGCUGCGGAGACACAACGCCAGUACUGUGAUUGCCUGAAAAAGAUAAUUGGCUCAUACUUCUCUCAAUAUUAAAAGUUUAAAAAAUAUGUGAAAUGAAAAUGCUAGAGAAAUGAAUUCAAAAAGUCCAAAUCCAAAAUAAUCUAAUCUGUUAUUAUUUUCAUUUUUGAAUAUUAAUUUAAAACACUGACAAUCAUGGUGCUCACAUGAUUUUUGCACAUAGACCGCCUCACAAUGAAUGAAAUGAACGGCUCCUUCUUUCACUAGGGGCACAAAGUCACGACCUGGCUUGUCCCUGGGAUUUCCCUGCUGUGUGUUCCCUCCUUGUCUUCAUGAGAGAGGUUCAGGCAGAGAAUCCUGCCUGGAUUCCCACGUCUGUACAGCGCCAGGCACCUGACAGUGGAGGGCUGUGAUAUGAUUUGGCUGUGUCCCCACCCAAAUCUUAUCUUGAAUUGUACUCCCAUAAUUCUCAUGUGUUGUGGGAGGGACCCAGUGGGAGAUAAUUGAAUCAUGGGCGCAGUUUCCCCCUUACUGUUCUAGUGGUAGUGAAUAAGUCUCUUGCCAUCUGAUGGCUUUAUAAGGGGAAACCAGGCCAGGCGCGGUGGCACACACCUGUAAUCCCAGUACUUUGGGAGGCCAAGGCGGGCAGGUCACGAGGUCAGGAGAUGGAGACCAUCCUGGUUAACAUGGUGAAACCCCGUCUCUACUAAAAAAAGAAAAUACAACAAAAAAAAAUUAGCCGGAUGUGGUGGCGAGCACCUGUAGUCCCAGCUACUCGGGUGGCUGAGGCAGGAGAAUGGCGUGAACCCAGGAGGCAGAGUUUGCAGUGAGCCGAGAUUGCGCCAGUGCACUCCAGCCUGGGCGAUAGAGCGAGACUCCGUCUCAAAAAACAACAAAAAACAAAAAAAAGGCAUAGUUCUCAUUCUCUCUCUUGCCUGCCGCCAUGUAAGAUGUGACUUUUGCCUUCUGCUAUGAUUGUGAGUCCUCCCCAGCCACGUGGGACUGUGAGUCCAUUAAACCUCUUUUCUUUAUAAAUUACCCAGUCUUGGGUAUGUCUUUAUCAGCAGCAUGAAAAUGGACUAAUACAGGCUGCACCCUGGUCCUGCCUUCUGCUGUGUUUCCCUGAGGCAGCAGAGUCUCCUAUGAAACGUGUCUCCCUUUAGAGCCUCUCUUUAGUGUCUGCCUCACCUUCUCACUCCAUUUAUCCCGCGUUUCACUGCCACUUCUAUGAUGAGCCGCGGCUUUGGAAGGGUCCCGUAAAUGGUCUGCUGAUGGCUUGGCCUUCUGAGCCUCCCUCACUCCCUGUGCACUGGGGGAGGCCCCUUCUCCUGCAGACAGGCUCUCAGGCCACAGGGAAUGGGUGUGGAAUGGCAGGUGUGGCCGGAAGCAUGGGGAUAUGUGAGGAGUGUGUGCAUGUGGAGUGUGUGAAUGUGUGUGAGCAUGUGAGUGUACGUGUGUGUGUGUGCAUGUGUGUGUCCAUGUGAUGUGUGUGUGAAUGUGAGAGUUUGCGAGUGUGCAUGUGGGGUGUGUAAAUGUGUGUGAGUGUUUGAGAUUGUGGAUGUGUGUGUGCAUGUGAUGUGCGUGUGAAUGUGUGAGAAUUUGAGAGUGUGCAUGUGGUGUGCGUGUGCAUGUGGUGUGUGUGAAUGUGUGAGCGUUUGAGAGUGUGCAUGUGGUGUGUGUGAAUGUGUGAACAUUUGAGUGUGCAUGUGUGUGUGCAUGUGGUACAUGAAUGAGAAUGUGUAUGUGUAUAUUGGGAAAGUGAGUGUGAUUGUGUAUGUGUGAGUGUAUGUGCAGGUGUUCGUGUGUGUGUGUGUGCAUGUGAGUGCAUAUGUGUAUGUUGGUGAGCAUCAGCCUGAGAGUAUGGACGCCAGAGUGAGAGUGUGUAUGAGUGAGUGUGCAGGCGUGAGUGUGAGCACGAGUGUGUGUGAGUGUGAGCAUGAGUGUGAGUGUGUGUGAGCAUGAGUGUGUGUGUGAGCGUGUGUGAGCAUGAGUGUGAGUGAGUGUGAGCGUGUGUGAGCAUGAGUGUGUGUGUGUGUGACGGGUGAGGUUGCAGCAGGUGUCUUACUCAUCUAACUUUGUCGGUGGAACGGGCGCUCCCCUCCCAUCUUGAAGUGCCCUGUGUGGGCGAGCUCAGGGCUUCUGAGGACAAGAGCGUGGCAGAGGGCACCACUUAUGGCAUGAGUGAAGUCUGCUGGUGGCUGCUGUAAGCUGUGUGUCACGUUGCCUUACAGGCACAUUCUAUAAAGGAAAUUGGUUUGCUUUUCCUUAAAUGAGACUAGGGAAACUAGGGGUAGGGUGACAGGUAGCUGGAGAGGAGGAUUUUCUCACUCGCUCCUCGAAUUGUACUGUUGGGUGAAUGGGCAGGUGCAUGAGGGGUCAGUGGUAGGUGCGCUGGGUGUAGAGCCCCACUGCACGGGGUCCCUCUGACCCACCUGGGCCAGUCCCACCCCAGCCCCUUCCCAGGUGCUUUUACCUCCAGCACCUUCCGAUCUGCUCAAACUUCCAGCAGUGGGGUCUUUGGGGGUCCUCAGGGCUCUGUCCUGGAUGUGCCUUGAACUCCAGCCUGUUUCCUCUAGGGCCUCCAUGGCCUCCUGGGGCCCCAGUAACCUCCAUAUGCCUGUACUGCCCUGGCUGUACCCCUGCUCGUUCUUCUUGUCUGAGCUCCACACCUGUGUGUGUGUCUGCACAUCCUGCACCCACCUCCCCACACUGCUUCUCAGAACCUCCAUAACUCCCUGCCAUGAAUAAUUCUAUGUGGCAACUUGACUGGGCCAUGGGGUGCCCAGAUAUUUGGCCUAACAUGAUUCUGGGCAUUUCUGUGAGGCUGUUUUUGAACGAGUUUAUCAUUUAAGGUGAUGAGUGCACAAAGUAGACUGUCCUCCCCAAGGUGGGGGGGGGGGGCCUCAUGAGAUCAGCUGAGGGUCCCGAGCUGAGUAGAACGUGGCUGGCCCUCCUCCAGGUAAGAGAGAACUACUCCUGCCUGCCGGCCUUUGAGCUAGCUCAUGGGCUUUUUCCUGCCUUUGCACUAGGACUGAAACACCAGCUCUUCCUGGGUCUUGAGCCUGCAGCUUUUGGACUGGAACCUACACUCUGGGCUCUCCUGGUUCUCAGGUCUUUGGACUCAGAUGGGAACUGUACCCUCAGCUCUCCUGGGUGUCCAGCUUGCUGACCACAGAUCUUGGAACUUCUCUGCCUCCUUAAUCAUGCAAGCCAAUUCGUUGUAAUACAUCUCUAUCUAUCUGUGUCUCCUAGGUUAAGUUUCCUGGAGAAUCUUGAAGGAUACACCCCCUCCCUCUCCCACAGCACAGAGUUGUUCUGUGCACUUGGAUCAGCCCCCACAACUUCCCCCUGGGACAGGGCAUCCAUCACCAUCUCCUACCUGGACAGCAGCAAACACGGCCCCCGUGACUUCCUGGUGCCAUCCUUGGCUCCUUUACGUCCAUUCUCCAGUGGCUGCCAGAGUGAGCUUGAAGAACGUGUGACAUGCCCUUCAGAACGUUCUACUUCCUGUUCCAGAAGGACAGCCCCUCAUGCCUUCCCGCGGCCCACACGCCACCCCUUCCUCAGCGCCCCAGCCUGGCAUCCUCUUCCUGCAUUCAGCCUUCUUUUCCGAGGGUCAACAUCUUGUGAGUAUGGAGACCAGGCAAUGUGAGCUCCAGCUCUAACUCUGUCCCAAUCAGCUGUGUGACCUUGGGCAAGAUGCUUAACUUCUCUGGGCCUCAGUUUUCUCAUCUGUGACAUGAGGUGUCAUCUCGCUGGAGGGCAGAAGGAUUCCCUGGAACCUGGGGGCCAGCAGGACAGAGGAAACAGAAAGUACAUGACUGAUGAUGUCUUUUGACCACAGAAAGGGCUGGAAGAAGCAGGGGACCCACUGUUUGAAUAAACCCAGUGGAAAAACAGAAGCCCCAUUUCAUACUUGACUCAGCUCUUCAAGUUUAGGUCUUGAAUCUCCUCAACUGCAUGGAACAGUGUUUCUCCCAAGUCAUCUGACACCCACUCUGUUCUCUGGAUCAUUCCUUCCUAGAGAACCUUGCUCUUGGAGGGCUGUGAUCUGCUGUCACCCACUUGCCUUUACGACCCACUGAGUGCGUCUCAACAGUCAUUUGGGGCGUUCUGAUCUGACCAGGAAGGGAUGGGUAGCUUGUGGAACUUGCAAGCACUCUCACUGUGGUGGUCCCCAUCGGUGGUCACGGGGUUGCCACAGUGAGCUACGUUUCUACCCUCAUCUCUCUAUAUGUUACCUUGGAAUCUCUGACUGAGGACCCAUGGGCUCACCCAAUGUGAUAAAGUCCUGAAGCCUAGCCGCGACAUCUGACCCCAGCUGCAGGACUUUCCAAUAGACAGAUGCAUAGGACUUGAGAAGAAAUCAACUUAGAAACCCGAAGUUGGAAAACUGGUUGCCUGACAUUCUGUGCAAGACUGAAUCUCUGAGCAACGAGGGCUGUGUAACUUUGGGAACAUGUCUUUUCCAGCCUAUGGAGACCCCAGGAAACUUUGCAGUUGUUCCCCAAGUAUGGACGGAGUCAAACUUGAUGUCCUUUCAUCCCGCCAUCCCAUUCCCUAAUCCAUAUCCUUUGGAAAUUUUAGAGUGCCAGGCUUCAUGUAAAUACACCAAAAACAAUAUAAGUCAUUUAUGUUCUACUAAGCCAGGAGUUCUUUAGCAGUGGAAGAAGAUGGGGUCUUGCACGAAUAGAAGGGUCUUGGCUAUUUGUGUCGGUAUCAACAGAAGGACUAGAUGCUUGCGCUAAAAGAAAAUGCUGAGGGAUGGGGGCAGGAAGCAGAAGGUGACAGGUAGACUCCUGCUUGUUUGCAGGAGAGGCCUGGCAGAGGAGGUGGGUACAGGACAUUGCUAAGUGGAUUGAAUAAUGUCCCCCCCAAAUUCAGGUCUAACCAGAACCUCAGAAUGUGACUUUAUUUAAAAGCGCAUUCUAAAUUGGGAAUAAAAUCUGCAACACAUGUUGCUGUUUGGGAAAUUCCUACAGCCAACGGCCAAGCUCCUGGCAUUUAAUGCUGGUGUCUCCAAAGAUUGGUUCUCAUCUCUUGAGGGCUUGUUUUUAUUAAGGGCACACUCAUGCCCCCAGAGCAUGCAGGUUGA